RNAcentral lists this ribosomal RNA (40 nucleotides) under Metschnikowia hawaiiensis. RNAcentral describes it as "partial 28S ribosomal RNA". Lineage: Eukaryota; Fungi; Ascomycota; Pichiomycetes; Serinales; Metschnikowiaceae. The record is from RNAcentral.
UACCCGCUGAACUUAAGCAUAUCAAUAAGCGGAGGAAAAG